UUGGUAAUCCUUAUGACCGGAAACCACAAGCUUUUUUUUUUGCCACAGUUUCAAUAUAUAUUCACUGAGCAGCCUUGCCUUUUUCACUAACUUCAUUGAGCAAGGAAGACAAAUUGCUUUCUUUGCUGUGUGACUGAAGUGACCCCCACUUGGUAUCUGUUUAACAAGACAGCUCUUCACUGACUGAUGUCAAAGAUGUUGAAGAUCCUCUUCUUGGUGUCCUUGAUGGUUUUGACUGCUUGCCGCAUCCAGUCUGUAAAGAUUCCAUCUUUCAAUGGUUCUGAUGCUGGUACCCAGAAGCUCUGUGCCCGCCUCUCAAACCCGGAGACUGGGGAGCAGCUGGAGCUGCAUUCCCUCAGAGAGAAGAAGCUGCUGGGAGCUGGUUGGAGUGGAGCCUUCAGCUCCUUCAAUGUGAUGGACAAGUGUCAACUCUCUCUGUGGGCAAAUCCCCGAGAAUGGAGUGAGUCUCGCUCCUUCCCGAGUGGUGCUUAUCCCAACCAGCUCUUAAGUGCUGUUGGCUUCCUCUCCAGCUACCAGUGCACAUGUGACGACCCCAUAAAAAAUAAAAAUUUCAAAAAUUUUGUACGCAGACACCUUGCAUCUGAACAGGAACAAGGUAGCGACAGUUUCUGCACAGAUAAAGUAAGACAAAGACGUAAAACUUGCCAACCUACAAACCCUUUUGUAUUCUCUACCGCGGGGAAAGUAAUCCGUGUGUGUAGAAAUGAAGGUGUCCAGGUGCCAAACUCAAAUUUGUAUAAGAGCAAAAACCUAUUCAGAAUGGUGGAUUGUAAGAAAACAGACCCAAACGCAAACCCCCCAAAUUGUUCCUACACCGCCGAAAAUACAAACGAACAAAGAUUUAUCAUUUUAGAGUGUAAUAAAAGAAGGCUGCCUAUACAUUUUGAGGCAUCAGAAGCUCCUUCUGUAUUUGGGUUCACUGACAGAGUUUAAACUGCUGUGAAUAACCUGCUCUCUCUGCACUGCUUAUUGCUUUUAAGUAGUUUGUUAAGUCUGUUAAUUCCUCUUUAUUAUUUCGUAGUAGCCCUUGAAAAAAAAAAAAAAAAACUAUACCGAAAGUAUACUUGGAUCAAAAUAGUACAGAUUGUCUUGACCAGAGAAGUGAUAUUUGUAUGAAUUUGUGGUAAACUGACCCUCUUUGGUAAUUCCUUAUGUUGAGAUGUUCAGAAUAAAAAUGCAAUGCAUCAUUUCUCCUGUAAUCCCUGCUGUUUGAAUGCAAUAAAAGCUUUUGCUGCAUGAAA
This is a long non-coding RNA of Polyodon spathula (Mississippi paddlefish), 1262 nucleotides long. RefSeq lists it as uncharacterized. The record is from RefSeq and is a predicted model, not a curated record. Lineage: Eukaryota; Metazoa; Chordata; Actinopteri; Acipenseriformes; Polyodontidae. The transcript has 2 exons.